UCCGACUGAGUCACUCGCUAAAUUUAGAUAGUAAACAAUAGUAAAAUAUGAUAGUAGAGAAACAACACAUCAACAAUAUGUGGUUAUACAUGAAAAUUAUGCAGUGGAUGGAUAGUGUUCUUGCUACGGGAGAAGAAGUGGAUUUUUUUUUCACAAUGAGUUCUGUUGUCCUAUCUUUGUUAAGGAUUUUUUGGCCAUCAUAUGGACACUGAUAAAUAAAUGAAUCUCAGGUUUGACAUGUUUUGACCCUCAAGACUGUAUUGACAAAUACGCAACUCUCUUUCAUUUUGUCUUCAUGCAUUGUUACUAAAAUUUCAUGCGAUGUUAUUGAAAUUUCACUAAAAUCUCCAGGUGGGUCAAUAUCAUGCUCCUCCUUUGAUUUUAGAAGUUCCACUAUAAAGUUGUCUGAAGAUUUUUCCUUACUGAGGUAGAAUUGAAGCUUUAUGGUAGAAAUGUAUUAGUUGCCUUCUAUAAAAUCUUGUCAAAUUAUGUUUUUUUUCUUCAGAAAUAUAAUUUGACCAUACAAUUUUACCAGAAGAC
This 540-nucleotide long non-coding RNA is filed under the name Capsicum annuum. RNAcentral describes it as "long non-coding RNA (CANN_LNC005061)". Lineage: Eukaryota; Viridiplantae; Streptophyta; Magnoliopsida; Solanales; Solanaceae. The record is from RNAcentral.